Molecule: long non-coding RNA, 665 nt
Organism: Drosophila pseudoobscura
Lineage: Eukaryota; Metazoa; Arthropoda; Insecta; Diptera; Drosophilidae
Exons: 2
Source: RefSeq, a predicted model, not a curated record
CGUGCCGUAUCAUGCAUAACCUUUUUUCCAUUCGUUUUCAGCAUUGCAUACACACACACACACACACACGCAUGGGUACACUCAAUUUGCGCUCCACAGACAGCGAGAAAGAUGGAAAAGCAAAGAACUCCUUUGUUUGCGUUUUAUUGGCAUUCUCUUGCAUCCGCAAGAACACGGCGGACCAGCAGACACACAAAAAGAAACAGUAACUCCUUUGACGCACCCCGAUAGUGUAGCACAACCAGUUCGUGUAAUUUUCCAAAACUUCCAGAGUAUUACAACGGGACAAAAAUAUGUAAGUAAAGCCCAAAAUCGCAGGCCAAGAAAAAAUUUUACAAAAAAAGAGAAAAAAAAAAACAAAAUAAUACACGCACACACCAACAAAAUGAAUGAUACGAAGUUCCACGCACGUCCACCCGCUUUACCUUUGCACCACCGACAACAAGACGACCUGAUCAUAGAGAUGUCAGUCAGUCCUCUGCAGUUGCUAUCGGCCCCCAAGUUCAGCCAUUUCCCCAUCGUUUACCAUCGAUAGCAUUAUCGGUUGUUUUGCGAAUGCAACCCAGCAACCUCAACCCAGCUAAUUGGAAUACAUUUACCUGUGCUUGAUCGGGAAACACUUCUGUAGGAUAUAUGCAUUCAAAUACAGCUAAAUUGCACAAAUA